Molecule: ribosomal RNA, 425 nt
Filed under: uncultured bacterium
Lineage: Bacteria
Description: bacterial SSU rRNA
Rfam family: Bacterial small subunit ribosomal RNA
Source: RNAcentral
GUGGGGAAUCUUGCGCAAUGGGCGAAAGCCUGACGCAGCCAUGCCGCGUGAAUGAUGAAGGUCUUAGGAUUGUAAAAUUCUUUCACCGGGGACGAUAAUGACGGUACCCGGAGAAGAAGCUCCGGCUAACUUCGUGCCAGCAGCCGCGGUAAUACGAAGGGGGCUAGCGUUGCUCGGAAUUACUGGGCGUAAAGGGCGCGUAGGCGGACAGCUUAGUCAGAGGUGAAAGCCCAGGGCUCAACCUUGGAAUUGCCGUUGAUACUGGCUGUCUUGAGUUUGGGAGAGGUGAGUGGAACUCCGCGUGUAGAGGUGAAAUUCGUAGAUAUUCGGAAGAACACCAGUGGCGAAGGCGACUCACUGGCCCAAUACUGACGCUGAGGCGCGAAAGCGUGGGGAGCAAACAGGAUUAGAAGCCCGGGUAGUCC